GCGUUUGAUGUGAGGAACAAGCAGGCUUCGCUCAAGGCCGACGAUUCGGUGUGUGUGGUGGCAGUUUAAGGAGUGGCGAAAUCUUCUGUUGGAUUGCUGCAUGCUCUGGUCUGAAAGUUUGUGCUUUGAAGGAGUGGCAACAUCUUCAGGUGGAAGGAGAGGCAGUUCAAGGACAUCUGCGGCAAUGGUCUGAAUUGAUUCAGGACUGCCUACCUAGCAGCAGCAGCAGCAGAGGCCGGGCAAUUCCACUGAAUUUUGGUCGAAGCAGGACAAUUCAAAGCAGCAGCAGAGUUCGUUUGGUUGAAGCAGCAGCAGCAGUAGGCGUCGGGGGGCAGCACAGUCGGCGAGGAAGGAGUCGGAGGGGAAGGAGAGACUGGGCUGGCGAUCGGAAUCUCCCAGCAGCAGAGACGGGGCCGGCGAUCGGAGUCUCAAAGUAGCAGAGACGGGUUGGCAGCGGUGCAGGUCGAGGUGGGCGGCGCCGCAGUGGCUGGUCGCGCAGGUGGGCGGCGUUAUCACACAGGUGGUCGCCGGCAGGUGGUCGCGACGGAUCGAGGACCGGCUCGCCUGGUGGUCGCGGCGUUGGGCGGCGGAAUCCGCGGGCAGCUGGUGGCGGGUGGGCGGCGGUGCGUGGUUGCGGGUGGGCCGUGAGUGCAGGAAUCUCCAGCACGGCGGCGGAAUCCCGCGGCGCCGGCCCCUGGCCCCUGGCGACGCACGGGCGGCGGACAGAGGAAGCAGAAGGAGUCAAGGACGUGCUUGCUACUGUUUUAAAAUUGUGAGGUGUUUUUUGCAAAACGUACACUGUACAUGAAUUUCAGGACGAAGGGAGUAUGUAGGUUUUGUAGGUACUAAUAUAGAUCUAGAAAAUACAAUACAUUUAGGAUGUGAUCCUGCCGGUGAUGUUGUGGGCUGAGCAACCCACUUCUCUGUUCUGCUCUUGUGAUUGCGCACCAAGCAGGUUCGUGUCGGCGGCUCUGUGCAUUGCCAAAUUUUGUUGUUUCACUCAUAUCAAUGAAAUGAUACGUAAUCUUUGUAUAUUUGUGAAAAUACAAUGAAAAGACCCAGGCUGCGCAUUAAGGAGCA
Molecule: long non-coding RNA, 1080 nt
Organism: Triticum aestivum (bread wheat)
Lineage: Eukaryota; Viridiplantae; Streptophyta; Magnoliopsida; Poales; Poaceae
Exons: 2
Source: RefSeq, a predicted model, not a curated record